UGUUUGAUUUCAAAAUCGGGA
This is a non-coding RNA of Caenorhabditis elegans, 21 nucleotides long. The record is from Ensembl. Lineage: Eukaryota; Metazoa; Nematoda; Chromadorea; Rhabditida; Rhabditidae.